RNAcentral lists this ribosomal RNA (433 nucleotides) under uncultured bacterium. Its description in RNAcentral is "partial 16S ribosomal RNA". It matches the Rfam family "Bacterial small subunit ribosomal RNA", at positions 29 to 507 of the family's 1533-position model. The record is from RNAcentral.
AACGAACGCUGGCGGCAUGCCUAACACAUGCAAGUCGAACGAGACCUUCGGGUCUAGUGGCGCACGGGUGCGUAACGCGUGGGAACCUGCCCUUAGGUUCGGAAUAACUCCCCGAAAGGGGUGCUAAUACCGGAUAAUGUCUUCUGACCAAAGAUUUAUCGCCCUUGGAUGGGCCCGCGUUGGAUUAGCUAGUUGGUAGGGUAAAAGCCUAUCAAGGCGACGAUACAUAGCUGGUUUGAGAGGAAGAUCAGCCACACUGGGACUGAGACACGGCCCAGACUAUUACGGAAUGCAGCAGUGGGUAAUAUAGGAAAAUGGGCUAAAUCCUGAACCAGCAAUGCCUCGUGAGUGAUGAAGUCCUUAGAGUUGUAAAGCUCUUUUACCCGGGAUGAUAAUGACAGUACCGAGAGAAUAAGCUCCGGCUAACUCCGUG